Molecule: ribosomal RNA, 909 nt
Filed under: Triticum aestivum (bread wheat)
Lineage: Eukaryota; Viridiplantae; Streptophyta; Magnoliopsida; Poales; Poaceae
Description: partial small subunit ribosomal RNA
Source: RNAcentral
AUGCGGCUGCGCUGCGCGCAUUGCCACGCGAUGCAGUUAUGUGCGGCACGAUGGAGUUACGUGCUGCAAAUUAGAACUGCCAUCAGGGCCUGCCGAUAUUCCUGGCCGUCCGGCUUCCCCUUUAAUUCCCGCGGCCAUUAUAACCUUAGUCUCUUCAACCUUUCGAUCGCGCCCCACAACACAACAAGCACACCCACGACGACACAUAGAGAGGGGAUGUCCAGCGGCACUCCAAUGGAGUUCAGCGAGCAUAGAGUGGAGACCCACGCAAGGGAGACGGAUCUCUCGGUGGUGUACAGCAUCGACCCGACUGUGGUGGACGACUACAUCAACAACGUUGAGCAGUUGCUUGCUAGAGACAAGUACAAGGUGGUCGGCAUCGACCUCCAGUACGCCGUCGGUCGUCCCGUCAUAGAUCAGAAGGUUGCCGUUGCCCAGUUGUGCGUGCGCCAUCAUGUUCUCAUCUACCACUACUACAUGGCCACAGAGCCUUGCGACCGUUUCAACAGGUUUGUCAACAGCACCGACUACAAGUUCGCCACGGUGGAAACCACCGAUGAUUCAAAAGCGCUCAGUGUUACGGGCUUGGCCUGCAAGAACCUUGUCGAAAUCCGUGACCUCUAUAGGGUCUGGGGCAGCACGAAGAAGGACUCCCUGGUCGAACUCGCCUCGGCCAUCUUCGACCCCUACUACAAAAAGAUGAAGCAGGAUGCCCAAAGAACAAGCCCCCUAUCCUGGCACAGGGCCUGGAUGCGGCAACUGGAUGAACCUCACCCCAGGUCCGCGGCCAAGAGCGUGUACACAUGCUACGAGAUGCACAGGCGGAUAGUUGACAUGAGGAAGUGCCUCCUUACCCAAAUCGAUGAGCCCGGAUCGAGCCACAAGCAGAGCAAGCGUCACAAGAAGUAG